This 835-nucleotide ribosomal RNA is filed under the name Clostridioides difficile. Its description in RNAcentral is "bacterial LSU rRNA". It matches the Rfam family "Bacterial large subunit ribosomal RNA", at positions 353 to 1191 of the family's 2925-position model. Lineage: Bacteria; Bacillati; Bacillota; Clostridia; Peptostreptococcales; Peptostreptococcaceae. The record is from RNAcentral.
CACCACAGAAGGUAAUAGUCCUGUAUGUUAAACGAGAAGACUUUAGAUAUGAUCCAGAGUACCACGGGACACGUGAAACCCUGUGGGAAGCAGGAGGGACCACCCUCCAAGGCUAAAUACUACCUAGUGACCGAUAGCGUAUAGUACCGUGAGGGAAAGGUGAAAAGAACCCCGGGAGGGGAGUGAAAUAGAACCUGAAACCCUGCACUUACAAGCUGUGGAAGCACAUUUCUUGUGUGACCGCGUACUUUUUGUAGAACGGGCCAACGAGUUACGUUAAGUAGCAAGGUUAAGCACUUAAGGUGCGGAGCCGUAGCGAAAGCGAGUUUUAACUGAGCGUUCAGUUACUUGACGUAGACCCGAAACCGGGCGAUCUACCCAUGAGCAGGAUGAAGCGAAAGUAAAAUUUCGUGGAGGUCCGAACCCACGAGCGUUGAAAAGCUCGGGGAUGACUUGUGGGUAGCGGUGAAAUUCCAAUCGAGCCCGGAGAUAGCUGGUUCUCCCCGAAAUAGCUUUAGGGCUAGCCUCAAGGUGAGAGAUACGGAGGUAGAGCACUGAAUGUCCUAGGGGGUAUUGCACCUACCGAAGACUAUCAAACUCCGAAUGCCGUCAUCUUAUACUUGGGAGUCAGACUGUGGGUGAUAAGAUUCAUAGUCGAAAGGGCAACAGCCCAGAUCGUCAGCUAAGGUCCCUAAAUGUAAGUUAAGUGGUAAAGGAUGUGGGAUUGCACAGACAACCAGGAUGUUGGCUUAGAAGCAGCCACUCAUUCAAAGAGUGCGUAAUAGCUCACUGGUCGAGUGAUCCUGCGCCGAAGAUUUCCGGGGCUAAAACUUAC